GACUAAUGAUUAUUUUUUUUAAUUCAACUAGUAUGUCAUAAUAGGUUAUGGAUUAAAGUACACAAUAGAAACAGUAUAAAAUGAUAAGCCAUAAAGUAAAUUUAAAAUGAAAUUUCAGAAUUUUGAAGUGAUUUUUUUUUUUCUUCAGAAACUUUAACAGAAACCAAUAAGAUUUUCUGAGGGCGAGAUUACACAUUACAAUUACAUCAUGUUAGGAACACUUAAAAUUUGACUAAUCACACAUUAAGGUUCAUUAACAAGUGUUAAGUUCCCUUUAGGCAUCUAUAAAUUAGGCCACUUUCGGAGAGGAUUAUCUCUCAGCUGGGUUACCUAGUUUGAGUUAAAUUAUCGUCUGUGUGCUCACCUGCAGCAAACAAAUUUGAGGCAAGGUUCCUGGCAGGGUUCUAAAUCUCGGUGUGCCCUUUUGCCUCUUCUUCACCACAUUAUAGCCAUGUCCAGUCUCCCAGUUUAAACAAAAAAAAAUUAAAAUAAAUAAAGGCAAGCCACCACUUCAACAAAAACCCUCUCCCAUUCUGGGUAUACAAACAUUAGAAUGGCCCUCAUCCCUUGGGGCUCUUACCUAUCUGAGGCAGUUGACUCACCAGCCUGUACAAUGUUCCUUUUUUAAGUCUAAUAGGCAGCUUCCCCAUUGCAGCUUAGGUCUGCUGUGUGCUGCCCUUGUCUCAGCUGCCUGUCAGCCUAGCAGACUAGCCUGCUGUGUUUUUCCCCUCUUUAGUAACAGGAAUCUUUGGAAGUCCUAAAUCACGGCACAGUAACAGCCCAUGCUGCGCUGUACGUGUGAUGUACGUUUAUUUUUAGCAGCUACUUUUCUGUAGUAAUGUGCUAUACCGGGGACCACGUUGCUAUGCUGAUGUAGCUGUUGGUCGCGUGUAGACGCCUGUGGAUGCUAUAUCACUGUAGCGUCACAUGUACAUACGACUUGUGAAUAGCACUUUACAAGUUGGAGUCUUGUGUACCACCGUCUUAUCCUGCCACUGAUGCACACCAACAACACUGAUUUCCAUUUGUAGCAGCAUACAUUUUAUGAAAUAUCAAGUGUGAUGGUUUAUCUCAGGAUGCAAUUCCUCUCUCUUUUUUUUAAUAAAAAAGAAAAAAAAUUAUAGAAAGAUCUGAGUGUAUAUUUCACAUAAGUCAAAAGUUAGACAUUGUCAGUCAAAUUUGCAGCAAAUGCUUGCCUACAUUACAGAAAGCAAAAUGAGAAAUUGAAGUACUUCAUAAGUUUUGCAUGAGCUUUUUUUUUUUUUUUUUAAUAGACCCCCAUCUGACACUUGCUUGUCAGGAAAUAAAAAAGUUAAAGUUCCUGUAGUAAUAUUAACUCAGUCACUUGCAUGCGUGUUAUUUUCUGUUUCUGUUAUUUGUUUUAAUGCUUAUUUAUGUUAUAAUUUGUUUUGCUCUUCAGAGUGGGAACUGUAUCUUUGUGUGUUUAUAAAGUACUUAGUACAAGUUGUGCACAAUCAUGAGAUAAAUAAGAGUAGUAAUACUUAAAGGGUAGGAUGGCUAAGCUAAAAUUUAUAUAAGAGCUAUAUUUUCAUUUCCUCACUUUUGAAUGUUAAUUAUACAGCAGUGACCUUUAAAGUUGAAAUUUGUGCACAUUUUGAAAGGUAAAUGUGCAUGUGUGCACACACAUCAUCAACUUUGAAGGAGAUGGCAUAUCCCUUGAACAAAAAGUAUAAAAAGUGAGGAAAUAAACACUGAAGUAAUUCAGUUACCCUAGCUAUCCUCCACUCAUCAAUUCUAUAUCUUAGCUUUUACCACCUCUUUUCCACCAUUCUUAGCCCACAUACCUACAACUCUUUAGCAACUUGCAUACUGCCUUAAUAUGGAACAUAAUUAUUAUAAACCAGAUGCCAGUUUGAUACUUUUUACAUUAAGUUGUACCUUAAAUUUGAGUGUUCUUUCCGUAUUCCUAUGCAUGGUUUGCACUGUUCACUGUAGAUCAGAUGGUGGAACCUUCUCACAGCAGGGCCCAUUACAGUACUGGACUCUGUCUGAAUCUAGGGGUGUGUGAAAUGGGCCAUAUUCGAUUCAGAUUCUGAUUCGGCCUGAAUCUGGGACAGUGAUUUGAUUCAUUGAUUCAGAUCACUGCCCCUGAUUCGAUUUGGCUGAAUCCGAAUCUGAAGAUUUGAUGCUGAUUCAGAGAUUCGGCCAUUCAGCCAUAGACACAACUUUAAAUGUUUUUUCUACAUACCUUGAGGUACCAGGCACGGCUUGUGAAUGCUGUGAUGCUGGGGCGGAUGGAGUACUUCCGGGUCCACUGCUGAGCAUGCUGGGGGGCCCCCUUGCCUCUUCUGGCUUAGCGAUCAGCUGUGGGGGGGACCCCGGGUGCCCCCCAGACCCAGGAGGCACCAGUGACCAAGCUGGGAGGGUGCAGGAGGGGCUCCCCCUGCAUGCUUCCCAGCAGAUCUGGAAGUGGACCAGAAGUGGCUAUAGCUAUAGCUUCUGAUAUUUCUUCAUUCAAAGACAGACAGAUGGCUUUGACCCAUUCUAGAUAUGAGGAAGCUCAGUGUCUUCAUUGGGAAAUGUUACUUUGUUUAAAUAACAUUUAGUUAAAUACUCCUCUUUUUUCCCCCUAACUUGGUUUGCUGCAUUUUCUUUAAACGUGCUUGUAUCCACCUUUCUAUCUACCUCCUGGUAUCUCAUUUUUACAGUGCAUUAAUGGCACUUUCUAUAAAAGUUUCUUCCAUUUGAUCUAUGUUUCUUUUUCUUUUUCCAUUGACCUGAAGAGGUUUUCCAAUGUGGUAGCCCAUUUGAAAAGACAGAACGUUUGUUUCUCGCUCCACAGAUAAUUCACCAUCCAAAAUGAUACUGCAUGAAAGAUAUUCAUUAUAUAUGCACCCUCUUUGAGGACUUUUAUAAUACUCAAAGAUAAAAGUCCCAGGUAUGUUCUGUACAAGAAAUCUCCUUUACAGAGGCAGUUUGCGAUGAUCAAGAAAGCAGAUCCUUACGGAUGUGGCUGACAUUCAAUUACAGAGCAAGUACAUAGAUUGUGUGCAUAUUGCACACAUGUGCCCUCACACACAUAUGCUAGCCAUCCCAAAAGGUGCACUGUUUUCAUUGACAUGGUGAAUUUCAAAUGCCACUCUUCUCUAGGAAGAAUGUUGUUUAGUUCUCCAGCUAAAUAGAUAACAAUCUCAUCAGGUGUUUCCACUGUCCAUUAGAGAGCACAUUUUUAGCCCUCUAAGGGUUAAACUAAAACAUGCCAGAGGUGUUUUAAGGUACCACAAAAAAUAAUCUAAAACAAUAAAAUCAGCUGAUAAUGUGGAUACUCAGAUGCUAUUUAGCUAGCUUAAUGGCGAUUUUUGUCAUGUGGACACAGGAAAAGUAAUGUGGAAACGAGAGGUGUCACAUGGACAUGCGCCCUAAUAGUUUCAGGGCUCUGGAACCUUUAGGAAAAGGGAGUUUGUAUGCAUAUUUCAGAACUGAAAACCAUAAAUUCAUCUGGCUCUCAAUUCUUUUCUUCAGGGCAGGAGUAAAUCAGGCUGGUAUGGACAACAACAGUGGUGUGCUGUUUCAAAAGACAAGGGCUUCUCACUCUUCAAAUGCUGAAUGAAGCAGUUGAGCUGUAGGAUUGGUAUAUGCAGCACAUCAGUUCUACUGAAACAGUAAUUUAACUUACUGGUGCUCAAGAACAACUGAAGAACUAGAGAAGCAGAAUAACAAUAAAUCUUAUAAAUCCAGAACUCUUCAUGUCGUCAAAACUACCCUGAAUUCAAACCAGGAUGAUGCACUUGAUUCAGAGGAGGAAAACUGCACACAGCAGCAUGAAGCUACAUCGGACAGCCCUGUAUUUUCCUCCAUCAAGGUACUCUACACAUGGCCCUUCAGGAGCAGCAACUUCCACAGAACAGCACUUACACUGAUACUACUAGCUUAUUGAACAAUCCAUCGACCCUUCUGUAGUGAGUCCGCUUAGUGCAGAAUGGCUGCAGGGAUUCUAUUCAGACAUCCCAGUAGAAAACUACACAGAGUGGAACAAAUCCCUUCCGGAUUUAAUACAGGAACACAGGACAUCUACACAGGUGCAAUAAAGAAGGAAUGCAUGGACUACAUAAUACUGGAUCACACAGAACAAGAAAGCCUUUGUUUUGAAAUACCUCCCCUGGUGAGCCCUCACCUGGAGCACUGUGUUCAGUUUUGGGCCUCACACGAAGAAGAAUAUGGACAAAGGGGAGAGGAUCCAGCACAGAGUGACAAAAAUGACCUGAGGUGUGGACCUGAGAUGCAAGAUAUAUGGUUGGAGCCAAGACAGCAGUUUUUCAUAGGAAACCUUCAAGCACUGAUGCCCAACCUAGCCUGCAGCCAGAGAUUCUUUAAACAACAGUGAUGACUGAGCUAAGCAGUCUACCAGUGAGAAUUGAGUCAUGAGUCUCCCUGUCUCCCAACAACUACUUGAAUUUUUGUAAAGCAUUUUUCUCCUAUUGAUCUAUAUUUUUAAAAAAUGAAAUGUGAAUAACAAGAGAAAUGAGAAUCACAGACAGACUGGAAAGUAUGGAAAUGAAAAAAUGAAAGAAAUGAAUGCACUGACUAAAUGGAUUCCACAAGCUCCCAAAUGAGAACAGCUGGCGUAGCAGGUGGAAAUUUUUCAAGUAAUCCAAACUGGUUUGGAAAAACACACUCUGUGCUUACAGGACAGAAGCAUACUGCAAGGCUGUUGAAGACCCAGGAUAGUGUCAACUAAUCCUUCGCAGCAUUUCUUCUCAUACUUUGUCUUAGCAUUUUAAUUAAUGUUGUGCACUGUGCAGUAUGCUAAGAGAAACGGCAUAAAUAUUCCAUUUUACUUCAUAUACUACUGUGGUUGCAUAUUUUGCAGCUGUGUUCUGAAAUUUCUUCACAAAUUUGGAAAAUUGUUGUAAUUUGUUUAAAUUUUUGUCUGUAAAUAUAAAAGUUUAAAAUAAAUACAGUUAUGAUUAA
Molecule: long non-coding RNA, 4932 nt
Organism: Alligator mississippiensis (American alligator)
Lineage: Eukaryota; Metazoa; Chordata; Crocodylia; Alligatoridae
Exons: 10
Source: RefSeq, a predicted model, not a curated record